Molecule: long non-coding RNA, 1536 nt
Filed under: Phasianus colchicus (ring-necked pheasant)
Lineage: Eukaryota; Metazoa; Chordata; Aves; Galliformes; Phasianidae
Description: lncRNA (ENSPCLG00000010288.1)
Source: RNAcentral
ACUAAAAGUGUGCCGCUUCUUUUCCCCAGCAGGAAUUCUGGAGCAGCCAUCUGCACUGCUGAUUGCUGCCAGGAGAUCCGUGCUCACUUUUUCAUGUCCUACAACAAUUUAUGCCCUCAGCAACCUGCACUGUGGCCACCAGGGUUCCCUCAUUGCCGGCUGAGAAAUCUGAAAACGUGCAUUGCAUCGUUUUGCCACAUUUCUUCAGGGAAAGUUGAGGCUCCCAAGCAGAAUCAGACAGAACUCUGGUGUCUGUGCUGUUCCGGCAGUGUGAAGGGUGAUGCAGUUUGGGUCACCAAGUCCUGCAUCCAUGGGCAAGCUGUGACCACAGAAACCUGCUGCUUCAUUUGGAGGCUGUGAGGAGAAUGCUGCUGCUUCUGGGAAGACUGGCUUUGGGAAUGGCCAGGCUGGGGGCUGGAUGUGUGUUGCACCAGGCCAGAAUAAGGAAAUGCUUUUUACAACAAACAGGUACUGUACUGUAACAUCACACCAGAAGUAUAUAACGGCCCUUUGUGAGGUUUCACCUCACAGUUCGAGGCUCUGUGCACCUUCAUUCUGCUGGAGCUGUGUAUUUAGCACUCCAAACAGUACAAUACAUUUAUGAAUGCCUUGUAUUGCCUGUCGCAUCCAGACCACUUGGCAAGUGACAUGCAACCAGCACAGCAAGCAGCAAUGCCUAAAGCAGAACAACCCAAAGAGAAAAUCUGGGAAGGCUCAGCAACACAGAGCACUGAGGUAUGAAGACCAACCUCCUGCUGCUUUUUUCCAACAACUCAGAAGCUCUUCUACACUACCACUCCACUUCAGAGGAAACAGCUGUUUUUGUUUGGUCUUCAUCGCAUGCUUCUCUACGUGUUUCCAUUUCACAGAUGCUAAAUUAUAUGUGCUGGAAAUGAACAUUAGUGCUGCUCCCGAGGAAGGCUGGGGUUUGGCCACGUGCACAUUAAAGGUGCAGUGCCAGUGGCACUGGGAUGGCCACUCAGAGCUGCUGCUGAGGCUGAAGGACGCCUUAGUUCCCAUAACCACAGUCAGGGAAAGGCCCCACAGGGCCUCACUGUCUUCAUCUCACACUUAAUUUCCUUUGAGUCACUGCAGGAAUGGGCUUCCCCAGUCCAGGCUGUAAACAUCCCUUUAUAAAUACAGUCUGCAAAAGCUGUUUGAUGUGAACAUUCCCCAGUUUGUUACAGAAUAGUAUUAUAAAACACCGAAUACCAAGAACAAGAAAACAAGUACAGAUGGAGUCCCGUCUCAACGUCUAUAGGUCCCCACGCCAGAAUUAGGCCUGGUGGGUUAAUUAUUUUAACAUUCAUGACACACAGCUUGUGAGGGAGAGCUGCAUAGAGGCAGACUAAGCUCCACAUUUAAUGUUCCUAGAAGGUCAAAUGACUGAAAGUGACAAACACAGCAUUCAAGCUCCUUUUUAACUGGAUGCAAUUAAUUAGACCAGAAGUGAAAACAGUUGCUUAAGUACUGAAGAAGCAGCACACCCUGCAAGUCAUUAUCAUAUGCCCAGAAUAAAUCCCUGUAGCGGUGUCA